GACGGAGGGUGCAAGCGUUGUUCGGAAUCACUGGGCGUAAAGCGCGUGUAGGCGGUCCGAUAAGUCGAGUGUGAAAGCCCGGGGCUCAACCUCGGAAGUGCACUCGAAACUGCUGGGCUUGAGUACGGGAGAGGGAAGCGGAAUUCCUGGUGUAGAGGUGAAAUUCGUAGAUAUCAGGAGGAACACCGGUGGCGAAGGCGGCUUCCUGGACCGAUACUGACGCUGAGACGCGAAAGCGUGGGGAGCAAACAGG
This 253-nucleotide ribosomal RNA is filed under the name uncultured bacterium. RNAcentral describes it as "partial 16S ribosomal RNA". It matches the Rfam family "Bacterial small subunit ribosomal RNA", at positions 524 to 776 of the family's 1533-position model. The record is from RNAcentral.